CCUACGGGGGGCUGCAGUGAGGAAUAUUGCACAAUGGGCGCAAGCCUGAUGCAGCAACGCCGCGUGAGGGAUGACGGUUUUCGGAUUGUAAACCUCUGUCUUUGGUGAAGAAACAAAUGACGGUAGCCAAGGAGGAAGCCACGGCUAACUACGUGCCAGCAGCCGCGGUAAUACGUAGGUGGCAAGCGUUGUCCGGAAUUACUGGGUGUAAAGGGAGCGCAGGCGGGAAUGCAAGUUGGAUGUGAAAUACCGAGGCUUAACCUCGGGGCUGCAUCCAAAACUGUAUUUCUUGAGUGAAGUAGAGGUAGGCGGAAUUCCGAGUGUAGCGGUGGAAUGCGUAGAUAUUGGGAGGAACACCAGUGGCGAAGGCGGCCUACUGGGCUUUAACUGACGCUGAGGCUCGAAAGUGUGGGGAGCAAACAGGAUUAGAUACCCCAGUAGUC
This 443-nucleotide ribosomal RNA is filed under the name uncultured Oscillospiraceae bacterium. Its description in RNAcentral is "bacterial SSU rRNA". It matches the Rfam family "Bacterial small subunit ribosomal RNA", at positions 338 to 795 of the family's 1533-position model. The record is from RNAcentral. Lineage: Bacteria; Bacillati; Bacillota; Clostridia; Eubacteriales; Oscillospiraceae.